ACGGAAGGCAGCAGUGGGGAAUAUUGGACAAUGGGGGAAACCCUGAUCCAGCGACGCCGCGUGAGUGAAGAAGUAUUUCGGUAUGUAAAGCUCUAUCAGCAAGGAAGAAAAUGACGGUACUUGACUAAGAAGCCCCGGCUAACUACGUGCCAGCAGCCGCGGUAAUACGUAGGGGGCAAGCGUUAUCCGGAUUUACUGGGUGUAAAGGGAGCGUAGACGGCGAUGCAAGUCUGAUGUGAAAACCCAGGGCUUAACCUUGGGCCUGCAUUGGAAACUGCUUUGCUAGAGUGCAGGAGAGGUAAGUGGAAUUCCUAGUGUAGCGGUGAAAUGCGUAGAUAUUAGGAGGAACACCAGUGGCGAAGGCGGCUUACUGGACUGUAACUGACGUUGAGGCUCGAAAGCGUGGGGAGCAAACAGGAUUAGAUACCCUGGUA
RNAcentral lists this ribosomal RNA (434 nucleotides) under uncultured Clostridiales Family XIV bacterium. RNAcentral's name for it is "bacterial SSU rRNA". It matches the Rfam family "Bacterial small subunit ribosomal RNA", at positions 341 to 792 of the family's 1533-position model. Lineage: Bacteria; Bacillati; Bacillota; Clostridia; Eubacteriales; Clostridiales Family XIV. Incertae Sedis. The record is from RNAcentral.